RNAcentral lists this ribosomal RNA (253 nucleotides) under uncultured bacterium. RNAcentral's name for it is "partial 16S ribosomal RNA". It matches the Rfam family "Bacterial small subunit ribosomal RNA", at positions 524 to 776 of the family's 1533-position model. The record is from RNAcentral.
UACAGAGGUGGCAAGCGUUGUUCGGAAUUACUGGGCGUAAAGGGCGCGUAGGCGGCCAUCUAAGUCAGACGUGAAAUCCCCCGGCUUAACCUGGGAACUGCGUCUGAUACUGGAAGGCUUGAGUAUGGGAGAGGGAUGUAGAAUUCCAGGUGUAGCGGUGAAAUGCGUAGAUAUCUGGAGGAAUACCGGUGGCGAAGGCGGCAUCCUGGACCGACAUUGACGCUGAGGAGCGAAAGCCAGGGGAGCAAACGGG